AACCUGGCGGCGAGUGGCGAACGGGUGAGUAAUAUAUCGGAACGUACCCUGGAGUGGGGGAUAACGUAGCGAAAGUUACGCUAAUACCGCAUACGAUCUAAGGAUGAAAGUGGGGGAUUCGCAAGAACCUCAUGCUCCUGGAGCGGCCGAUAUCUGAUUAGCUAGUUGGUAGGGUAAAAGCCUACCAAGGCAUCGAUCAGUAGCUGGUCUGAGAGGACGACCAGCCACACUGGAACUGAGACACGGUCCAGACUCCUACGGGAGGCAGCAGUGGGGAAUUUUGGACAAUGGGCGCAAGCCUGAUCCAGCAAUGCCGCGUGAGUGAAGAAGGCCUUCGGGUUGUAAAGCUCUUUUGUCAGGGAAGAAACGGGCCUUUCUAAUACAGGGGCCUAAUGACGGUACCUG
Molecule: ribosomal RNA, 405 nt
Filed under: uncultured beta proteobacterium
Lineage: Bacteria; Pseudomonadati; Pseudomonadota; Betaproteobacteria
Description: bacterial SSU rRNA
Rfam family: Bacterial small subunit ribosomal RNA
Source: RNAcentral